UGCCAGCCGCCGCGGUAAUACGGAGGGUGCAAGCGUUGUUCGGAAUUAUUGGGCGUAAAGCGCGUGUAGGUGGUUUGUUAAGUGGGAUGUGAAAGCCCCAGGCUCAACCUGGGAACUGCAUUCCAAACUGACGAACUAGAGUACGAUAGAGGGAGGUAGAAUUCAGAGUGUAGCGGUGAAAUGCGUAGAUAUUCUGAGGAAUACCGGUGGCGAAGGCGGCCUCCUGGCUCGAUACUGACGCUGAGGUGCGAAAGCGUGGGUAGCAAACAGGAUUAGAUA
This 279-nucleotide ribosomal RNA is filed under the name uncultured bacterium. RNAcentral describes it as "partial 16S ribosomal RNA". It matches the Rfam family "Bacterial small subunit ribosomal RNA", at positions 506 to 784 of the family's 1533-position model. The record is from RNAcentral.